UUCCAGGGGCGGGAAUCGAACCCACAACCUUCCGCUUACCUGGCAGAUGCCAUGUCCACUAGGCUACCCUGGA
This 73-nucleotide transfer RNA is filed under the name Cordylochernes scorpioides. RNAcentral describes it as "tRNA-Thr". The record is from RNAcentral. Lineage: Eukaryota; Metazoa; Arthropoda; Arachnida; Pseudoscorpiones; Chernetidae.